AUCGCUUCUCUGCCUUUUGGCUAAGAUCAAGUGUAGUAUCUGUUCUUAUCAGUUUAAUAUCUAAAAAAAAUCGUACAAGAUGCUACAUGAGGUAGAAAAAAGAAGCCCAA
Molecule: small nuclear RNA, 110 nt
Filed under: Myotis davidii
Lineage: Eukaryota; Metazoa; Chordata; Mammalia; Chiroptera; Vespertilionidae
Description: U2 spliceosomal RNA
Rfam family: U2 spliceosomal RNA
About the family: U2 is a small nuclear RNA (snRNA) component of the spliceosome (involved in pre-mRNA splicing). Complementary binding between U2 snRNA (in an area lying towards the 5' end but 3' to hairpin I) and the branchpoint sequence (BPS) of the intron results the bulging out of an unpaired adenosine, on the BPS, which initiates a nucleophilic attack at the intronic 5' splice site, thus starting the first of two transesterification reactions that mediate splicing.
Source: Rfam by way of RNAcentral